UUAGAGGUCUUCCCUGCCCUAUGAAUUUUUAAAUGGCCGCGGUACCUUGACCGUGCUAAGGUAGCAUAAUAAUUUGUCUCUUAAUUAGAGACUGGAAUGAAUGGAAUCACGAGAGUCUAGCUGUUUCUUUUUUACAAAUAAAAACUAACCUGUAAGUGAAGAGGCUUAUAUAUACUAAAAAGACAAAAAGACCCUAUUGAGCUUGAUCUAAAAAUAUACUUUCAUAUCAAAGAUUUUGUUGGGGCAACAAGAGAAUAUCUUAAUCUUCUCUAUAACUAAAACAGAUACAGAUCCGUUAUACGAUCAUUAAAUAAAGCUACCAUAGGGAUAACAGGCUAAUUCUUUUUGAGAGACCAAAUUGACAAAAGAGAUUGGCACCUCGAUGUUGGCUUAGGAGAUCUCCUAGAUGCAGAAGUCUAGACUAGUGGGUUUGUUCAACCCUUAAAAUCCUAC
Molecule: ribosomal RNA, 453 nt
Filed under: Spio sp. LK-2011-1
Lineage: Eukaryota; Metazoa; Annelida; Polychaeta; Spionida; Spionidae
Description: partial 16S ribosomal RNA
Rfam family: Bacterial large subunit ribosomal RNA
Source: RNAcentral